GACGAACGCUGGCGGCGUGCUUAACACAUGCAAGUCGAACGGAAAGGCCCUGCUUUUGUGGGGUGCUCGAGUGGCGAACGGGUGAGUAACACGUGAGUAACCUGCCCUUGACUUUGGGAUAACUUCAGGAAACUGGGGCUAAUACCGGAUAGGAGCUCCUGCUGCAUGGUGGGGGUUGGAAAGUUUCGGCGGUUGGGGAUGGACUCGCGGCUUAUCAGCUUGUUGGUGGGGUAGUGGCUUACCAAGGCUUUGACGGGUAGCCGGCCUGAGAGGGUGACCGGCCACAGUGGGACUGAGUUCGGGCCCAGACGCCUACGGGAGGAAGCAGGGGGGAAAAUUGAAAAAGGGGGGGAGGCCUGAUGCAGCAACGCCGCGUGGGGGAUGGGGGCCUUCGGGUUGAAAACCGCUUUCGCCUGUGACGAAGGGGGGGGGAGGGUAAUGGGUAAAGAAGCACCGGCUAACUACG
Molecule: ribosomal RNA, 466 nt
Filed under: uncultured bacterium
Lineage: Bacteria
Description: partial 16S ribosomal RNA
Rfam family: Bacterial small subunit ribosomal RNA
Source: RNAcentral